UACCUGGCGGCGUGCCUAAUCAUGCAAGUCGAGCGAACUGAUUAGAAGCUUGCUUCUAUGACGUUAGCGGCGGACGGGUGAAUAACACGUGGGCAACCUGCCUGUAAGACUGGGAUAACUUCGGGAAACCGAAGCUAAUACCGGAUAGGAUCUUCUCCUUCAUGGGAGAUGAUUGAAAGAUGGUUUCGGCUAUCACUUACAGAUGGGCCCGCGGUGCAUUAGCUAGUUGGUGAGGUAACGGCUCACCAAGGCAACGAUGCAUAGCCGACCUGAGAGGGUGAUCGGCCACACUGGGACUGAGACACGGCCCAGACUCCUACGGGAGGCAGCAGUAGGGAAUCUUCCGCAAUGGACGAAAGUCUGACGGAGCAACGCCGCGUGAGUGAUGAAGGCUUUCGGGUCGUAAAACUCUGUUGUUAGGGAAGAACAAGUACGAGAGUAACUGCUCGUACCUUGACGGUACCUAACCAGAAAGCCACGGCUAACUACGUGCCAGCAGCCGCGGUAAU
RNAcentral lists this ribosomal RNA (509 nucleotides) under uncultured bacterium. RNAcentral's name for it is "bacterial SSU rRNA". It matches the Rfam family "Bacterial small subunit ribosomal RNA", at positions 36 to 524 of the family's 1533-position model. The record is from RNAcentral.